GGAUCUUGUAUGCUUUCUUUAUUAGGUAAGACUCCUGUGCCUCCUCUUCCUCUGCCAUGUCCAAAGGAACCUCGUCCUCAUCCACGGCCUCGUCCAUGACCGUAUCCGCGGGUAUAACUAUGACCGCGAUUUAUUUGAUUGCUUUCGCUAGUUGGGCCAUCUUUUUUCUCAUUGAUGGUGAGCUUGCACUUCAAGGCUU
RNAcentral lists this long non-coding RNA (199 nucleotides) under Elaeis guineensis (African oil palm). Its description in RNAcentral is "long non-coding RNA (EGUI_LNC036421)". The record is from RNAcentral. Lineage: Eukaryota; Viridiplantae; Streptophyta; Magnoliopsida; Arecales; Arecaceae.